CGGACGGGUGAGUAAUGUCUGGGAAACUGCCUGAUGGAGGGGGGUAACUACUGGAAACGGUAGCUAAUACCGCAUAACGUCGCAAGACCAAAGAGGGGGACCUUCGGGCCUCUUGUCAUCGGAUGUGCCCAGAUGGGAUUAGCUAGUAGGUGGGGUAACGGCUCACCUAGGCGACGAUCCCUAGCUGGUCUGAGAGGAUGACCAGCCACACUGGAACUGAGACACGGUCCAG
Molecule: ribosomal RNA, 232 nt
Filed under: uncultured bacterium
Lineage: Bacteria
Description: partial 16S ribosomal RNA
Rfam family: Bacterial small subunit ribosomal RNA
Source: RNAcentral